UUACAUUAGAUCUGUGUGUGUUUAUAACACACCAAAAAAAUUGUUCAUGAUGACAAAUAAAAAAAAUAUAUAGUAAUACUUGUUACAUUUUGUCAUUGGCUUUUAUUGUAUAAGCUGAAGCUUGUGAGCUGGCAGACAACUUGGGGAAGAUGGCAGUAGCUUACAUUCCAGAUGACAUUCAACUCAUGGAGUUAGCCAACAAGGAUGUUGCACUGGGGAGACUUGCUUUUUUCAAAGACCUUCUAAAUGAAGCCAAAACCCAGCCAAAACAGCCUUUGACUUAGUUACUCAUGACCUUGGCCUAAAAUUAUUCGAUGUUUUCUUUUCAGUCUUGGGAAAGGUGGCAGACUCGGAGAUCAGAAAGUAUAGUGCUGCAGAAUAAGACUUAGUCCAAACCAAGUCUGAAACAAGAUUAAAACAAAGCUGAAGUUCGUUUUGGUUUUACUUGGCAGUUUAUUGCAAUAAUUUACAUCCAGUUAUCACCUAUGUGGUCUCCCUACUGGUUUGUAGAAUAUUGUAAUUUCAGUGAGUUGCUUUUCCAGAUGUUGUGCUGAAUUCUACCUCACUGACAGAAUCAAACUGAAGUGAAGGUGCAUCACACAGCAGAAUGAGUGUAUCUGAUUCAAAUUUUUUCUGUUUAUAAAUGAGGUUUAAUUUACAGUUACAGUAGAUACAGAAUCACUAGCAUAAUAUGUUGUAUCGAUACAACUGCGCUAUGAAGGGGAGUUGGAUUUCAGCACUGCAUCUUUUUCUUAUUCUAUUGUUUAAUGGGUGAAAAUAAUUGGUCUGAAAAUCAGAAAACCAUUUAGAAACGGGUUUUCACACUGCCUUUGAAGAAGACCAUGGUUCAGCACAAUCAGACCUUGACCACUUUUUUUUCGGUUGGACCAAAUAAUGGUCCUAUUUUCUAAACCAUGGUUGAAGGCACCGUUCACACCUGCUAUUUGGUUCAGACCAAACAAGUUAAUGAUUUAGUUAUACUCCAUCCUGUUGUUGAAUUUUGUUACUAGAUUCUAAUAGGCUAAACAGUUAAAAUACGUUUGGACAUUUGGACAUAAAGAUUCAUUUGUGUUUUUCAGAAAGUGAUAUUUUUAUUUUUAGUGCACACUUAAUUUCAGUUUACAUACUAUAAUUGCAUGUAUAAGAAUACAAUUUCGAAUCUUUCCAGUUCUGUAGAAAUUCACACUGUACAUCAUUAUACCAAUUAAUAAAAAAAUAAUUUUACUUGCA
Molecule: long non-coding RNA, 1230 nt
Filed under: Astyanax mexicanus (Mexican tetra)
Lineage: Eukaryota; Metazoa; Chordata; Actinopteri; Characiformes; Acestrorhamphidae
Description: lncRNA (ENSAMXG00005001380.1)
Source: RNAcentral